AGUGAACGCUGGCGGUAGGCCUAACACAUGCAAGUCGAACGGCAGCACAGUAAGAGCUUGCUCUUACGGGUGGCGAGUGGCGGACGGGUGAGGAAUACAUCGGAAUCUACUUUUUCGUGGGGGAUAACGUAGGGAAACUUACGCUAAUACCGCAUACGACCUACGGGUGAAAGCAGGGGAUCUUCGGACCUUGCGCGAUUGAAUGAGCCGAUGUCGGAUUAGCUAGUUGGCGGGGUAAAGGCCCACCAAGGCGACGAUCCGUAGCUGGUCUGAGAGGAUGAUAGGCCACACUGGAACUGAGACACGGUCAAGACUCCUACGGGAGGCAGCAGUGGGGAAUAUUGGACAAAGGGCGCAAGCCUGAUCCAGCCAUACCGCGUGGGUGAAGAAGGCCUUCGGGUUGUAAAGCCCUUUUGUUGGGAAAGAAAAGCAGCAGGUUAAUACCCCGCUGUUCUGACGGUACCCAAAGAAUAAGCACCGGCUAACUUCGUG
RNAcentral lists this ribosomal RNA (492 nucleotides) under uncultured bacterium. Its description in RNAcentral is "partial 16S ribosomal RNA". It matches the Rfam family "Bacterial small subunit ribosomal RNA", at positions 29 to 507 of the family's 1533-position model. The record is from RNAcentral.